Rhinolophus ferrumequinum (greater horseshoe bat) is the source of this 691-nucleotide long non-coding RNA. RefSeq lists it as uncharacterized. The record is from RefSeq and is a predicted model, not a curated record. NCBI's taxonomy places the organism in Eukaryota, Metazoa, Chordata, Mammalia, Chiroptera, Rhinolophidae. The transcript has 3 exons.
AGCACCGGGAAGGGAUCUGCGAGUGGCGCCGGCGCCUUUAAAUAUCUUGCUCUAGCUUGCAUAUUCAUGAGUCUCGCUGGGGCUGAGCCGUCUGGGCGGGGCCCAACGCACAAGGGCGGGACCAGAGCGAACUUCGAUCCCUGCUGAAAAAAUGCCGGGUUUCAUCGGGUUUGGUUCUUGUACCCCUAGCACGGGUUCUGCAAGGGAGCUCGGAGAGAAGCCCGAGAGCGAACGCGAGGCUGUUCUAUCUUUCAUUCGUUCAGCCAGUGAAUCUGAUGUUAAAACCGAGUGGAACUGAAAUGCCAACUAGUUCACUUCCCUGAGCCUCAAUUUCCUCAUCUGUAAAAUGGGCCAAAUGGUAUCUACUACACAGGUUAUAAAUAAAAUUGCAAUAUGUGAGGUACCUAGUACAUCCCAGAUGUUCCACUCUCCUCCACCUAACCACUAUCCUGAGUUUCGAUGAAAAAAGGCACACAGUGGUUAAUUGGCCCAAAGUUAGGAAGCACCGAUGAUUUCUGACUCGAGAACUUCUUCUGGUAUUGGCUAUCGUCAGACUGGCUCCCCAUGCUCACAAGAUGGCGACCACAGGCCCAAAUAUCACAUCCUUAUGACAAUGUUCAGGGGCAGAAGAAAAGGACCUUCUCUUCCUUCUGUCCCUUUUUAGGAUGAAAGGAAAACUUUGCUAGGUGUG